This 2290-nucleotide long non-coding RNA is filed under the name Penaeus monodon (black tiger shrimp). RNAcentral describes it as "uncharacterized LOC119579251". The record is from RNAcentral. Lineage: Eukaryota; Metazoa; Arthropoda; Malacostraca; Decapoda; Penaeidae.
UCGCGACACUUCUUUCGUCCGUGACCGUACGCCGAUUACCUUUAGGUCUAGUUAUAAAAUAACACAGAUAAGACCAAGUCCUUUUCCCCCUUUUGCCGCUCUAAAUCCGACUUUCAGCUCUUGAAAUCAUGGAUCAAUUCGCAUUAAGGAAAGGAGGGAGAUAAUUCUUGUGGAGAGGCCACGGCGUCUUCCAACGUACCGAGUACUGAGAAAGAGUACGUCCCCCUCCAGCUCCUUCUGUCCCCCUCGGCCUCCAGCGACGUAUUCAGCGUCCUCAAGCCCUCUCCUUCACUCAAGAAAUUCGGAAGGAGUGCUGCCGUCACCGUCGAUGGAGAGAGAGAACCCGCCUCGAUCUAUCCGUGAGAAAGCGCAGUUUACCUUUCACGAAGAGGGCGAUGUAGGGGAGACUCGCGUAAACCCCCUGGAAGCCCUCAGGGCAGAAAAUGGUUAUCCGAUUGAGUAUCGCCAAGUCGGUUUACAAACGACGAAAUCUUGGGUCGCCUUAUCGAAGAACGACCCUUAUUAUGCGAGCGAUCCCGAGACAGAUUCAGAAGAAAAUAAAGUUUUCGCAAAACGUAGCAAACGUUGGUCCUUCUGUUAUGGACAAGAAAAUGCGACUGUUUUGUUUCAAAAAGAACACAAAAGGGAAGACUUUAGAAGAAAAUUCUGGUUGCUAGAAUCUUGGUACCAUCUCGUACCGCGAAUGAAAAGUCACGAGAAUUUGUGGUUGAAAAGAGUCAAGUUUAGUAAAUAAUAUACGUUUUUUUUUAAGGCGUUUAUGUCUCCAUGGAAAAGAAUGUGUUCUUAGAGUAUAAGUUAAGAAUCUAGAUAUUAAUGAGAAGUGUAAUAUUUUGUGUUUAUUUUGGUUAGCGGAACACCAGUGAUGUACAUACAAGUACGUGUUUCACAUAUAAACAAACAUGCAUAUAAAUUAAUAUGUAUGCAUUCUCUCUCUUUCUUCUUCUUCUUUUCUUCUUCUUCUUCUUCUUCUUCUUCUUCUGCUUCUUCUUCUUUCAUAAAUUGGAGAAUCUUAAAAAAUAUUCAGUACAAACUUUUCAUGGCUUAAACCAAAACUAGAACUACCAUCAUAUCACAAAGCUUAAAACAACAGAGGCAUAAAAAAACUUUAAGUCUCCAACUCAGAAAAAAGUUUAUUAUGGUUACUGCGCAUUAGUUUGUAUUGUCUUCUAUUCUUAUGCUUAUUCUUUAUUAUCAAUGUUAUCAUCAUUCUCCUUCUUCUUUUUCUUCUCCUUUCUACCUGCACUGAUGCAUGUCCAAAAUGUGGAAAACGUAUUACAAAUUUGUAUAGAGUAGAUUAGGGAUAUACUAUAGAUGUUACAUCAUAUAAUUUUACAUGUGUAGUUUAUAGAUAAAAUUGCAUGUAUAUAUUUGUGAAUACGAAAUAACUUUAAUCAUUUAAAUAUAUUUUUAAAGAAAAAAAUAUCUAUAUUGUGAGAACUGUACGAAUAAGUGAGUCUGAGCUGAAAUGCAGCUUGGAUGUAGUGACUAAAAUAAGGAAUAGUUUAGAAAACGGGAUACUGAGAUAUCCUUUAAAAUGUUCAGGUUAUUCCAUAACGGCAUUUAUAGAGAAGAGUUGACAUUAGUCUAUGGUUUAAGUAUGGAUAAAUAGAUACGUAUAUAUGUACCAAAUUCCCCAGGAUAAUCUGGAAAUGUAUGUAGACAUUUCAUUCUUUAUUUUUAAUUUGACGGCGAUGUUGGACUGAUCGACGAGAAAGAGACAAGUCCAAAGUUUACAAGAAUGUACGAAGAUAAACUACCUCGAAAUGUUUGGUGCUGAUUUCCUCUCCCUUGUGAAUUACUGGAAUUUUAAAUAGUGGUUAUGAAGUCAUGUACCAAAUAUUUGAGACGUACGGAAUGUAUCGUAGAUAGCUUAGGGAAUGUGUGUAUUGGGAAUGGCUGUAGAUUAGCAUUAAGGAUAAGGUGCUAAGGCCGUUCACCUUUGACACUCCACUACUUAGAAGCUCUGUGGCAGGUGGUGAAAAAACACCCACAUAUACCAAGCCAAGUGAAAAUUGGCUGAACUUUUAUUAAGUAUUAGAUAUUAUACGUACUGUACUUAGUCAUGAUGUGCUUCUCCGCUUCAUUAUGGGUUUGAGGGCACGUUUGUGCGUCGCAGCACACACAAACAGCAGAACAUUUUUCUUUAAGGAUUAUGUUUUAGCCUUUUACAAUAAUCGUACAAAGUAUGAAGAAAAUCACCAAAGCGAAUUUCAUUUUGUAAACAAUCAAGUUGAUCAUUUAUUCCGUCUGCUUAUUAAAAAAAAAAAAA